UCCCUGGUGGUCCAAUGGUUAAGACUCUGUGCUCCCAAUGCAGGGGGCCUGGGUUCAAUCCUUGGUCAGGGAA
This 73-nucleotide transfer RNA is filed under the name Ovis aries (sheep). It matches the Rfam family "tRNA". From Rfam's summary of the family: Transfer RNA (tRNA) molecules are approximately 80 nucleotides in length. The record is from Rfam by way of RNAcentral. Lineage: Eukaryota; Metazoa; Chordata; Mammalia; Artiodactyla; Bovidae.